CGGGUCGGGUGAGUAACGCGUGGGUAACCUGCCUCAUACAGGGGGAUAACAGUUAGAAAUGGCUGCUAAUACCGCAUAAGCGCACAGGACCGCAUGGUCUGGUGUGAAAAACUCCGGUGGUAUGAGAUGGACCCGCGUCUGAUUAGCUAGUUGGAGGGGUAACGGCCCACCAAGGCGACGAUCAGUAGCCGGCCUGAGAGGGUGAACGGCCACAUUGGGACUGAGACACGGCCCAG
Molecule: ribosomal RNA, 236 nt
Filed under: uncultured bacterium
Lineage: Bacteria
Description: partial 16S ribosomal RNA
Rfam family: Bacterial small subunit ribosomal RNA
Source: RNAcentral